This 253-nucleotide ribosomal RNA is filed under the name uncultured bacterium. RNAcentral's name for it is "partial 16S ribosomal RNA". It matches the Rfam family "Bacterial small subunit ribosomal RNA", at positions 524 to 776 of the family's 1533-position model. The record is from RNAcentral.
UACGUAGGGGGCAAGCGUUGUCCGGAUUUAUUGGGCGUAAAGCGCGCGCAGGCGGUCUACCAAGUUCGGAGUGACAGUUUCCGGCUUAACCGGAAAAGGUCUUCGAAAACUGGUGGACUUGAGGACUUGAGGGGGAGACGGAAUUCCGGGUGGAGCGGUGAAAUGCGUAGAUAUCAGGAGGAACACCUGUGGCGAAAGCGGCUCACUGGACCACAACUGACGCUGAUGCACGAAAGCUAGGGGAGCAAACAGG